This 460-nucleotide ribosomal RNA is filed under the name uncultured bacterium. Its description in RNAcentral is "partial 16S ribosomal RNA". It matches the Rfam family "Bacterial small subunit ribosomal RNA", at positions 338 to 795 of the family's 1533-position model. The record is from RNAcentral.
CCUACGGGCGGCAGCAGUGAGGAAUAUUGGUCAAUGGACGAGAGUCUGAACCAGCCACGUAGCGUGAAGGAUGACUGCCCUCUGGGUUGUAAACUUCUUUUAUAUGGGAGUAAAAUGUUCCACGUGUGGGAUUUUGUCUGUACCAUAUCAUUACGGCUCGGCUAACUACGUGCCAGCAGCCGCGGUAAUACGGAGGCUCCGAGCGUUAUCCGGAUUUAUUGGGUUUAACGGGAGCGUAGGUGGAUUGUUAAGUCAGUUGUGAAAGUUUGCGGCUCAACCGUAAAAUUGCAGUUGAAACUGGCAGUCUUGAGUACAGUAGAGGUGGGCGGAAUUCGUGGUGUAGCGGUGAAAUGCGUAGAGAUCACGAAGAACUCCGAUUGCGAAGGCAGCUCACUGGACUGCAACUGACACUGAGGCUCGAAAGUGUGGGUAUCAAACAGGAUUAGAUACCCCAGUAGUC